This 1960-nucleotide unclassified non-coding RNA is filed under the name Hevea brasiliensis (rubber tree). Lineage: Eukaryota; Viridiplantae; Streptophyta; Magnoliopsida; Malpighiales; Euphorbiaceae. The record is from RNAcentral.
AUUGCCAAUACCCCAUUUAUAGGAUGGCCCAUUGCUAACGAGGACAUGCUCUAUCCUCUUGAGUCUUGACAGCCAAGUCUUAUGAUUAUCAACUUCUGAAAUUUGGAUUUGGUGAAAUGGAGGGGCUUCCAUUGCAUACACUGUUUCACUUUCCUCCAGUUCUCCAAUCUCCCAGUAAGAGAUGGAGAGAUGCUAUGACUAUGGAUUUUUAUGGUCAAUUUGCUCCACUAACAGUGAAAAGCUUGCCAAGAAGAGGGCUUUUGAAGGCUAUUGGAUUCAAUACCGUCCUAUUAUGUGUUAGUCCUGUUUUUGCUGCUCCAAUGCCAGAGGUGAAGGAACCUCAAGUUUUCGGUAAAAUGUUGUAUGUUUUAGCUUUAUUUCCUUUCUUUCAAUUCUUUUAUACGUUUUGUUCUUUAAUAAGCUCAGUAUAGUUCUUUGUAAUGCACACACACUACUAGUUCUCAUAUGAGAUUUUGCUUGGGAUUUGAAGUGUACAGGACACUGAAGCUUGAUAGUGGGGUGAGGAUUCAAGGUAUCUAUUUGAAGUGUUCAAUUCAAGUUUGUGAUACAAAGAACGAUUCUAUCUGUAAUUAACUCUUAGGCAGUUUAGUUGUAAGCAUGAUUUAUAAGAGUUGAUAUUGCGAUUUUAAUAUGCAAGAAACAACAACAUGCCAUAUGUUCCCUAGCAUAAUUAGCAUCUUAUUCUUAGAAGUGGAAACUUAAUUUCUGCCUUUUUGUUUUCUAGAUAUUAUUGAAGGAGAAGGUCAAAAAGCUCAAGAAGGAGAUCUUGUUGAAGUAAAUUAUGUAUGCCGCCGCUCAAAUGGAUAUUUUGUCCACAGGUACUUUUACUUCUAUGUUCUAGGGGUUUCUCACUAAUUUACUUGCAUAUUCAGGAAUAGUCUCUGCAGGAUUCAUGCUAUAUAUAGUCUCAUCCUUUGUCAAAUGGAUGGCCCUUUUGAAUUCUAACCGUCCUUAAUACAGCACGGUGGAUCAAUUCAGUGGAGAAAGCUCACCUGUCAUACUUCCUUUGGAUGAGAAUCAGGUAUGUAGGAAAUUUUUGUUUCUUCUCAAGAUUAGAUUCAGCUUUAAGGACAAUUGGUUCACGUUUUGGUGUAUAUCUCUACCGAAUGCUGGGAGCAUUUAAUGUGGCUGGAAAAGAAAGGGAAUGGGAUGUGGGUGCUAGCUAUAUGGGAAUUGUAUAUCAGAGACCAGAGAUCAACUCCUACUCACAGAGGAGAAAGGGUGCCUCCCCAAGCUGUAUCCCUGAAGAAAUAAAAGGGUAAAACAGAAGGGGAAAAGAGAAAACAUUAAUUAUUGUUGGCACUCAUUCCUUUCUUCUUUUAGCUCGAGGCAGACACUUGGUUAUUGAACUACUAAUCAACGGCAUAAAGAUAGUUAUUUUGAUUGUGAAAAAGAAACCUACUUUGUUAAGAAUGUGCGAUCAUCUUUUUCUUAUCAAGAAGAGUGCUUUCAUGUUGUAAAUUGCUCCUUCUGACAGAUUAUCAAGGGCUUGAAGGAGGUUCUAAUUGGCAUGAAGGUUGGAGGGAAGAGAAGAGCAUUGAUUCCACCUUCUGUAGGGUACAUAAAUGAAAACUUGAAGCCAGUCCCUGAAGAGGUUUAUUAAUCAUCUUACCCUUCUUCUUUUCCCUGAAACUUCAUUGAAUCCAACUGAUUCUUUUGUGUCAUCUUUAUUUUGCAUCAUCAUAUUAUAAAUAAUUUAUGUUAUGUUCAUUGGCCUUAAUUGGUUGCAGUUUGGUCCUCGUCGAAGCCUUUUUUCUCAUGCAAAUGAGCCUUUAAUAUUUGAGGUGCAGCUCUUAAAAGUCCUAUGAGUUUUUCUUUGUUAUACAUACCUUGUAAUGAAAUUAGAAUUAUUUUUAUUUUUAUAUCUUUAUUCAAUUGGAGUUCUCAUUCUUGUGAAGAUAUUGCCUUAUUUACCAAGAUCCUUAUUUAUUAUUUAUUA